This 346-nucleotide unclassified non-coding RNA is filed under the name Hevea brasiliensis (rubber tree). Lineage: Eukaryota; Viridiplantae; Streptophyta; Magnoliopsida; Malpighiales; Euphorbiaceae. The record is from RNAcentral.
AGCACGAACUAGGGUUUGUGGGCUGCAAAAGUACAGUUCACAAAACUUCGUUAGAGUUCAUCAUGAAACGAUCACACGGCAAGCAUGUACUAUUCUGUCCAUCCACACACACAUACAAGUUAUGUUCUUACACUCUAAUAUUAACUAAUGAAAAAAUAAUGAAAGAGUAUCUCUUAUGAAUAGAAUAGGCAAUUUGUUUUGCAGAAGCUAUACUUAAAAAAUGUCAAAAUGCUUAAGAACCAUAAAAUGGAAUUACAUUUAUAGCCACAGUUGCUCAAAUAUCUCUUUUAACUACUUUCUUUAAAAUGAAGGCUCAAGCAAAACGUUAUCCUGGUUUAUGUCUAAA